RNAcentral lists this long non-coding RNA (1337 nucleotides) under Ananas comosus (pineapple). RNAcentral describes it as "long non-coding RNA (ACOM_LNC042110)". The record is from RNAcentral. Lineage: Eukaryota; Viridiplantae; Streptophyta; Magnoliopsida; Poales; Bromeliaceae.
UUAUUUGAGUGAAAAUAGAGAAGGAUGACGUUAUUUUCGACCGUUAACGACCACUUUCGUUGUUUAAUUUGCCGUAACAAAAAUAUAGUCGAAACUUGAGUUAUCCAAAACAGCGUAAUUGACUUAAUCCUACCCAAGGCCAAAAUCAAUUACAAUGAAGAAAAGUGAAGAAAAAAUAAUAAAAUAAUAUAAAAAGAUAAUUCUAGUUAUAUUUAAAUAUAUUUAAUUAUUUUACUAAUUACUCUUUUUUUUAGUUUGCAUAUUUAAAAUAUGAUAUAAAAAUUGAAUAGUUAAGUUUUAAUAUUUUCUUCAUGUAGUUUAUACAUUUAAAAUAUGAUGUAAAUUGGUUAGUUAAGUAUUUUUUUUUUUACUUUAUAAUUUUAUUAUUGUAUUAUUAUAAGUAUAAAAAAAUUAGUUGUUUUAGAUUAAUUUUUUUUAUUAUAUAGAAAUAUAAUUAUAUUAUUGUUAUUUAUUAUAUUAUAAUUUAUUAUUUAUUAAGUUACUUAAUAUUUAUACUUAAAUUAUAGUUUUACAUCAUGCACUUCUUGCCAAAAAAAAAAGCAAAACUGAAAAAACUUCAUUUCCAUAGCUAUAAAACAAACAGUGAAAGAGAAAUAGUUUUAUGGAACUCCUUUUCAACCCAAAGUCCAGUUUCAGUAAAACAAGCAGGCCUUUGUAAAUGUUGAAAACCAUUGCCAAUGUACUUGUUUAUAAAGCACUCUUUCGAAUGUUCAACUUCUAAUAAUCAAAAUCUAAUUAAAAAAAUAGUGUUUAUAAUAUUCUAUAAACUUUAUGUAAAAAAAAUUAGGCUAAAUUACACAAAACCGUCAUGUCAAUACCCAUUUUUUCACUUUUUCUCCUAUCAUUCAAAAACUUACAUUUUGCCCCAUUAAAAAAUAAAAAAUGUUCGUAGGAAGGUAUGAUGUGAUAAAGUGACCAAAUUAUUCUCAUCUUCUUCAUCUCCUUUCCCAUCCUCCCCCCAUUCUUGCUCAUCCCGGCGGCGGAGGAGAGCGAGGACGUUUGUCUAGGCAAAGAUAGAGGGGUGGGCGAGUGCGAGGCGGCGAAGGACGAGGCGGCGGCCGAGGGCAUGGAUGAGGAUUUCAGGAGUAUUUUGGGUAUAAAAAAUAAGAUAUAGAACCUAACGGAAUACUAACGGCAGGGGCCGAAGUGAAAAUUUUUUAUUUUUUAAGAGGGCAAAGUGAAGGUUUUUGAAUGACACGAGAAAAAGUAAAAAAGCGAGUAUUGAUAGGGAGGUUUUAUGUAAUUUAGCCUAAAAAUUAUAUAUAUAAAGUUCUAUUUAAAUGUUGGAAUAAGCUAUUCUUGAAUAGCUUUCUAUG